UUUGAACAACUGCACCAGAAAAUGGCCAACCUUCUUAGGGCAACCUCGGAGUUAGAGAAAGAUUACACCAAGCUCAAAAACAAAAAAGACCAACAUCUCCGAGGCCGACAAGCAGAGGAUUAUCAAUGAUUAUAAAGAAUCUUCGGAGCUGAUCGAAAUCAUUAUAAAUCAAUUCUCCCAAGGUUACCAAGGCCAUAAAGAUAAAAUAAAGGCAAAAAUGCAAACGAUUGACUUAUAUACCAUAAUUCUCGAUUCCUCAGAUGACGGGGGGAAGCCGAAGACCUUGCCAUCUGACAUUUAUACUUGAUUUUAUUUCUUU
Molecule: long non-coding RNA, 319 nt
Filed under: Panax ginseng (ginseng)
Lineage: Eukaryota; Viridiplantae; Streptophyta; Magnoliopsida; Apiales; Araliaceae
Description: long non-coding RNA (PGIN_LNC012610)
Source: RNAcentral